This is a long non-coding RNA of Leptopilina boulardi, 836 nucleotides long. RefSeq lists it as uncharacterized. The transcript is spliced from 2 exons. The record is from RefSeq and is a predicted model, not a curated record. Lineage: Eukaryota; Metazoa; Arthropoda; Insecta; Hymenoptera; Figitidae.
CUUAAAUGAUUUGAGGCUUUGCCAACUGUCAGAACAUUAAAGUCAAAAGACGAAAAAGUUCUAGAAUAAACUAUAUGUUACACUUUUGGUAAUACAGGUCACGUAACAGUAAGAUAAAUCUAGCUUAUAGGAAAUUUUUGAGAUUGAAUCACGGAGGAAUAGUAGGGAGACAGAUCUCUGCGUUUGAAAAUGUCCGAGAAACAUGCACGAUAAGUGCAUUGUACUCAGCUGGCCAAAGUAGUUUAGCAUGCGCAUUGGACCUCAAUUUUGACAGAUGAAAAGUGUGGUUAUGCGAUAUACAUAUAUGUCACAAAAAAAUCUUAGUUUUCGAUGUUUAUUUCAGAUAUUUACCAUUGCGAUAGUGUAUCUCCAAAAUCAUGUAUCAAAUAGAGAAAAUUAAAAAAAUGAAAGAAAAGAAAAUGAGAGUAAGAAAAUUGAAAGAGAAAAAAAAAUUUUUUGGAUUGCAAAAAAUUGAAGAUGACUGUAGAAUUAGAAGAAGAGUUGCUGUUUUUCCAAAUUUAACUGUAAAUAUUUAUUUCGACAAUGAAAUAAUGCCGUUUUCAGAAUUUAUAACUAUUAAUAGUGUUGAUCAAUUUAUAGCACUUUUAAACAAAGUGCAUGAAUUUCCUCUUAAUAAUUAAAUUAAUUAAGUCUCAUGUAUGUUAUUUUUUCUAAGUGUACAAACUGCUUAUAGUUAAUACGUGUCCUAUAUUUUGUCUAUUAUAGUUGAAUAAAUUCUCUAUGUAGAAAGUGCAAAGAAAAUGGAAGAAGUAGAGGUAACUUAAACUGAUGUAAAGAAUUGUUGAAAAAUGGAUUAAAUAUUUUUUUAAUGUAAA